RNAcentral lists this ribosomal RNA (1050 nucleotides) under Pediococcus pentosaceus. RNAcentral describes it as "bacterial SSU rRNA". It matches the Rfam family "Bacterial small subunit ribosomal RNA", at positions 442 to 1477 of the family's 1533-position model. Lineage: Bacteria; Bacillati; Bacillota; Bacilli; Lactobacillales; Lactobacillaceae. The record is from RNAcentral.
AAGAAGAACCGGGGGUAAGGAGUAACUGGUUUACCCCAGUGACCGGUAUUUAACCCAGAAAGCCACGGGCUAACUACGUGCCAGCAGCCGCGGUAAUACGUAGGUGGCAAGCGUUAUCCGGAUUUAUUGGGCGUAAAGCGAGCGCAGGCGGUCUUUUUAAGUCUAAUGUGAAAGCCUUCGGCUCAACCGAAGAAGUGCAUUGGAAACUGGGAGACUUGAGUGCAGAAGAGGACAGUGGAACUCCAUGUGUAGCGGUGAAAUGCGUAGAUAUAUGGAAGAACACCAGUGGCGAAGGCGGCUGUCUGGUCUGCAACUGACGCUGAGGCUCGAAAGCAUGGGUAGCGAACAGGAUUAGAUACCCUGGUAGUCCAUGCCGUAAACGAUGAUUACUAAGUGUUGGAGGGUUUCCGCCCUUCAGUGCUGCAGCUAACGCAUUAAGUAAUCCGCCUGGGGAGUACGACCGCAAGGUUGAAACUCAAAAGAAUUGACGGGGGCCCGCACAAGCGGUGGAGCAUGUGGUUUAAUUCGAAGCUACGCGAAGAACCUUACCAGGUCUUGACAUCUUCUGACAGUCUAAGAGAUUAGAGGUUCCCUUCGGGGACAGAAUGACAGGUGGUGCAUGGUUGUCGUCAGCUCGUGUCGUGAGAUGUUGGGUUAAGUCCCGCAACGAGCGCAACCCUUAUUACUAGUUGCCAGCAUUAAGUUGGGCACUCUAGUGAGACUGCCGGUGACAAACCGGAGGAAGGUGGGGACGACGUCAAAUCAUCAUGCCCCUUAUGACCUGGGCUACACACGUGCUACAAUGGAUGGUACAACGAGUCGCGAGACCGCGAGGUUAAGCUAAUCUCUUAAAACCAUUCUCAGUUCGGACUGUAGGCUGCAACUCGCCUACACGAAGUCGGAAUCGCUAGUAAUCGCGGAUCAGCAUGCCGCGGUGAAUACGUUCCCGGGCCUUGUACACACCGCCCGUCACACCAUGAGAGUUUGUAACACCCAAAGCCGGUGGGGUAACCUUUUAGGAGCUAGCCGUCUAAGGUGACAGAGUUGGCG